AAAAAAGGUAAGCUACUAAGAGCAAAUGGUGGAUGCCUUGGCUAGUAGAGGCGAUGAAAGACGUGCCAGGCUGCGAUAAGUCUCGGGGAGCCGUCAAGGGGCUUUGAUCCGGGAAUUUCUGAAUGGGGCAACCCAGUAUAUAGUGAUAUAUACUACCGCAAUGCGGAGCUAACGUUGGGAAUUGAAACAUCUUAGUACCAACAGGAAAAGAAAUCAAAAGAGAUUACGCUAGUAGCGGCGAGCGAACGCGUAAGAGGGCAAACCGUUAGUUUACUAACGGGGUUGUAGGACUGCAACAUAGACUUAAACAAACUAAUAGAAUAACCUGGAAAGGUUGGCCAUAGAGGGUGAUAGCCCCGUAUAUGAAAGUGCGUUUAUACUUAGCAGUAUCCUGAGUAGGGCGGGACACGUGAAAUCCUGUCUGAAGCUGGGGAGACCACUCUCCAACCCUAAAUACUACUACUAGACCGAUAGUGCACAAGUACCGUGAGGGAAAGGUGAAAAGAACUGAGGUGAUCAGAGUGAAAUAGAACCUGAAACCAUUUGCUUACAAUCAUUCAGAGCACGAUUCUUUAUGACGUGUGAUGGACUGCCUUUUGCAUAAUGAGCCUGCGAGUUGUGGUGUCUGGCGAGGUUAAGGAAACCCGGAGCCGUAGCGAAAGCGAGUCUUAAUAGGGCGUAUAGUCAGAUGCUGCAGACCCGAAACGAUGUGAUCUAUCCAUGAGCAGGUUGAAACUGGUGUAAGAGCCAGCGGAGGACCGAACAGACGGCCGUUGAAAAGGCUCCUGAUGACUUGUGGAUAGGGGUGAAAGGCCAAUCAAACAUCGUGAUAGCUGGUUCUCUCCGAAAUAUAUUUAGGUAUAGCGUUGUGUCGUAAUUAUAAGGGGUAGAGCACUGAAUGGGCUAGGGCAUAUACCAAUGUACCAAACCCUAUCAAACUCCGAAUACUUAUAAUGUAAUCACAGCAGUCAGGCGGCGAGUGAUAAAAUCCGUCGUCAAGAGGGGAACAACCCAGACUAACAGCUAAGGUCCCUAAAUCUCAUUUAAGUGGAAAACGAUGUGGAGUUACUGAAACAACCAGGAGGUUGGCUUAGAAGCAGCCAUCCUUUAAAGAAAGCGUAAUAGCUCACUGGUCUAGUGAUUCUGCGCGGAAAAUAUAACGGGGCUAAAAUGAGUACCGAAGCUUUAGACUUAGUUUUUAACUAAGUGGUAGGAGAGCGUUCUAUUCAGCGUUGAAGGUAUACCGGUAAGGAGUGCUGGAGCGGAUAGAAGUGAGCAUGCAGGCAUGAGUAGCGAUAAUUGAUGUGAGAAUCAUCAACGCCGAAAACCCAAGGUUUCCUACGCGAUGCUCGUCAUCGUAGGGUUAGUCGGGUCCUAAGCAAAGUCCGAAAGGGGUAUGCGAUGGAAAAUUGGUUAAUAUUCCAAUACCAAUUAUUAUGUGCGAUGGAAGGACGCUUAAAGUUAGUGGAGCUAGCGGAUGGAAGUGCUAGUCUAAGGGUGUAGGUUGAGUUAUAGGCAAAUCCGUAACUCUUUAUCCGAGACCUAAAAGGCUCAUGACGCUCUUCGGAGUAGAUUGAGAAUCCAUGAUACUAUCGAGCCAAGAAAAGUUUCUAAGUUUAGUAAUAAUUGCCCGUACCGUAAACCGACACAGGUGGGUGGGAUGAGUAUUCUAAGGCGCGUGGAAGAACUCUCUUUAAGGAACUCUGCAAAAUAGCACCGUAUCUUCGGUAUAAGGUGUGCCUAACUUUGUAUUAAGAUUCACUCCCAAAGCAAAGAAGGUUACAACAAAGAGUCCCUCCCGACUGUUUACCAUAAACACAGCACUCU
This 1827-nucleotide ribosomal RNA is filed under the name Campylobacter fetus subsp. testudinum. RNAcentral describes it as "bacterial LSU rRNA". It matches the Rfam family "Bacterial large subunit ribosomal RNA", at positions 1 to 1824 of the family's 2925-position model. The record is from RNAcentral. Lineage: Bacteria; Pseudomonadati; Campylobacterota; Epsilonproteobacteria; Campylobacterales; Campylobacteraceae.